Molecule: ribosomal RNA, 409 nt
Filed under: uncultured bacterium
Lineage: Bacteria
Description: bacterial SSU rRNA
Rfam family: Bacterial small subunit ribosomal RNA
Source: RNAcentral
GAUCCUGGCUCAGAUUGAACGCUGGCGGCAUGCUUUACACAUGCAAGUCGAACGGUAACAGGCCUUCGGGUGCUGACGAGUGGCGAACGGUGAGUAAUGCAUCGGAACGUGCCCAAUCGUGGGGAUAACGUAGCGAAAGUUACGCUAAUACCGCAUAAGCCCUGAGGGGGAAAGCAGGGGAUCGCAAGACCUUGCGCGAAUGGAGCGGCCGAUGUCAGAUUAGCUAGUUGGUGGGGUAAAGGCCUACCAAGGCGACGAUCUGUAGCGGGUCUGAGAGGAUGAUCCGCCACACUGGGACUGAGACACGGCCCAGACUCCUACGGGAGGCAGCAGUGGGGAAUUUUGGACAAUGGGCGCAAGCCUGAUCCAGCCAUGCCGCGUGCGGGACGAAGGCCUUCGGGUUGUAAAC